CAGCAGCCGCGGUAAUACGAAGGGGGCUAGCGUUGCUCGGAAUGACUGGGCGUAAAGGGCUCGCAGGCGGUUUCUUAAGUCUGAUGUGAAAGCCCCCGGCUCAACCGGGGAGGGUCAUUGGAAACUGGGAAACUUGAGUGCAGAAGAGGAGAGUGGAAUUCCACGUGUAGCGGUGAAAUGCGUAGAGAUGUGGAGGAACACCAGUGGCGAAGGCGACUCUCUGGUCUGUAACUGACGCUGAGGAGCGAAAGCGUGGGGAGCGAACAGGAUUAGAUACCCCAGUAGUCCCUGUCUCUUAUAA
RNAcentral lists this ribosomal RNA (301 nucleotides) under uncultured bacterium. RNAcentral's name for it is "partial 16S ribosomal RNA". It matches the Rfam family "Bacterial small subunit ribosomal RNA", at positions 509 to 809 of the family's 1533-position model. The record is from RNAcentral.